RNAcentral lists this ribosomal RNA (450 nucleotides) under uncultured bacterium. Its description in RNAcentral is "partial 16S ribosomal RNA". It matches the Rfam family "Bacterial small subunit ribosomal RNA", at positions 338 to 795 of the family's 1533-position model. The record is from RNAcentral.
UCUACGGGGGGCUGCAGUGGGGAAUAUUGGACAAUGGGGGAAACCCUGAUCCAGCGACGCCGCGUGUGUGAAGAAGGCCUGCGGGUUGUAAAGCACUUUUAGUGGGGACAAAAAGCCACCGGCUAAUACCGGGUGGUCUUGAUUUAACUCACAGAAAAAGCACCGGCUAACUCUGUGCCAGCAGCCGCGGUAAUACAGAGGGUGCGAACGUUAAUCGGAAUUACUGGGCGUAAUGUGCGCGGAGACGGGUGAAAUCCCCGGGCUCAACCUGGGAACUGCAUUUGAUACUGCAUUGCUAGAGUACGGUAGAGGGAAGCGGAAUUUCCGGUGUAGCGGUGAAAUGCGUAGAUAUCGGAAGGAACACCAGUGGCGAAAGCGGCUUCCUGGACCAGUACUGACGUUCAUGUGCGAAAGCGUGGGGAGCAAACAGGAUUAGAUACCCUAGUAGUC